Molecule: antisense RNA, 193 nt
Filed under: Shimwellia blattae DSM 4481 = NBRC 105725
Lineage: Bacteria; Pseudomonadati; Pseudomonadota; Gammaproteobacteria; Enterobacterales; Enterobacteriaceae
Description: Escherichia blattae DSM 4481 Yersinia sRNA 251
Rfam family: Yersinia sRNA 251
About the family: Antisense to phoH gene. Trimmed on 5'end from the original size.
Source: Rfam by way of RNAcentral
CAUACGCAUGCAGCGUUUUCUGGCACAGUACCGAGCGCACGCAGUCAUCCUUAUUAAACCGCACAACGCUUAUCAUCUCGUCAUCGUGAAAGCGGGACAACGCAUCGCUGAGCCCGGAUGUCACCCCCGCCGGUAAAUCGCACUGGGAAAUAUCCCCGUUCACGAUAACCGUGACAUUCUCCCCCAGCCGGGU